This is a long non-coding RNA of Oreochromis aureus, 10103 nucleotides long. Lineage: Eukaryota; Metazoa; Chordata; Actinopteri; Cichliformes; Cichlidae. The record is from Ensembl.
UGCAGGUGAAUGGGUGUGUAAAAGCAAAUAUGCAUCAGACUGACAAAGAAAAGAGUGUUAAACGAUUUUUAAUUUAGAACUUUAACUUUAUGUGCAAAACUGAACUUACUGAUAACACACACUAGUCAUUCGAACACAUGUAACUGUAAUGAACCAAAUAAAACAGAAACAUGCAGGCAGCACUCAUUAUACCGUGUAUAACGCAGCAUGGGGUUGUAUUUUUUUCUUUUCAGAUGCUCCUGUCACUCCAUUUCCCAGGUCAUCAUAGCACUCCCACACACACGGAGCUCUCCUGCAGUAUGCAGUGUAAUGGCCCAAACCAUCAGUGGUCAUCUUUCCGUGGAAAGCAAUUAAUGCCCUCAAAGUGAACGACUUUCCUUGGAGAACCAGGUUGGAGGGAAAUUCGUUCAGUGGAAAUUCUGUUUGGUUUGCAAGAGAUGGAUUGGAGAGUGGCCUGAGGCAGGUAGACUCAGGUAGGCCAAGUCCUGCUUCCACAGCAGUGCCAAGAUGAGCCAUAUCAGACUCUUUGAGGACAGAGAUGGCAGGAGAAACAAAUGGCACUUCCCUUGUCAUCCCUUUGCUGAGGUAGCAGUGCUGUGAAGAGCAGUGUUUGGUAAAAUAAACACUUGAGAUGUUCCUCAUUGUCUUAGCAAUUACAGCGGAGACAUUGCACUGAGCAUCAAUUUGGAUCGCACCAGACCUCAACGAGACAGAUUCAAACAUUACACUAAGCAGCUCUGCUCUCCUCCUGUAGGUUUGUUGGGUCACACCAUCUGUGGCAAUGGCUUUCACCAGCUGCAGGACUGGGUUUUCACUGUCUUUCAGAACAGCAUUUUGAAAUGUUGAGCUGUCACAGAAGGCACAACAUAAGCACUGAAAAAAUGCAUCAAAAGCACAGUUUCAUCUGCAUGGAGCCAUUCGGUACAUGAAGAGAGGUAGGAAGUUCUCUUCCUUUUUUUGGGUGGAACAGCUAGGCCCCUCCCGUUCUCAACUGGAUCCCCAUCAGCCGGAAGAAUGUUUGUGGCAGCAUCAGAUCCCACAAACGGAACAAAUCCGCAUAUUUCCCUCGAUGAAGGAAAGAUGACGAGCAAUGAAGCGAUCGACUCGAACAGUGUCGCAGGUCUGUCUGGAUCUCAUCCACUGAAUCCACUCUCUCACUUUCCUCCGUCUGUUCAUCUGGAAUGAUGAUGGAGUCUUGAGCAAUUUGGGCUUUCAGGUAUUUCUUGCACCUUUCUGAGGGAAGAGGGGCUCCAGAACUGUCAUCACCUUCUGCCUCACUGAGGGCCACAACAGUGAUAGCACGCAGUCCCACUGGCAUAUCAUCUUGAUGCAGUGCGCAACAUCAACCCUGAUAAAACAUGGGGGGAGUUUGGCAGACUGGGUUCCAAGAAGGACAUGAAAGCAUUCAUUAAGAGUGGCCAAAUUUGGAAGGUGGCUUGGCUCAGGAUCUCCAACAUCCAUCAGAUCUGCUGCCUUCGCUGACCUCCAUACAGCCGGUUCCAUUCUGCCCUCACACAGCUCUUUAGAGAUCUGUUCACGCAGGUUUCCAGACAUGAACCGCUUGGAGUGGCCAGUGUGCAGGGAGAGAUCUGUAUUUCUCAUGAAACACUGAAGCACCAUUGGACUAUUAAUUGCUGGCUGUCUGUCACAUGACAUUUCUAACUGGCCAUGACACUCCUUACAGUCGCCUCUGAUGUCCAGAUAAUUAUUGUUGACAGUUGGAUGGACCUUUGCUCUUCGGAACACAAGUGUACAUGUAUUUUUGAUCUUCUUCCAUAUAAGAUCGUUGAUGAUAUGAGUCCAAGUGCCAGGUUUCAAAAUUGUGUAUUCCCUUUUUUGGGUAGGAGAAAACUUGUCAUUGUAUUCAACCGUUUCAGGAAUAAAUUUAACCCAGUCCUCAAAAGGGACUUCUAGUUCAAAAGCUUGACAGUUUUCUUGUCCAGGAGAAAUGCAAUGUGAAUCUAACUCUCCUUCACUAUUACUUUCCUGAUCACCAGACAGUUAGCUAUAUCAUGUAUUAACUCAGUAACUAAAACCUCAGUAUUUUAAAUGUAAGCUUACCUUGUUCAGAAACCAGAUGUAACACGCUGUUCUAAGAAUCCUUCAGACACAGUAAAGCCAAAUAAUAGUUUUUUCUGCCAGAAAAUGUGUAUUUGAUGCAAAAGACUGCUAGCUUGUUUGUCUCUCAAAAAGUGUUCAUGGGAGUGUAAAAUGUUCAAAUGUAGUUUUCAAUAAAGUUUUUUUAAUCCACCUUAAGAAAAAUAGUCAAGCAUUUGCAUCGUAGUUUUAUGAACAAAAAGUGAUUGAAGUAAAGAAAUUGAAGUUAAAAAAAUACACUCAUUACAAAUUUAGCUGAUUAAAUACAACAAGAGGUUUUUUUUAACAGAACUUUAUUGAACAAGACAUUUUUCAGCAGUAACACCAUAACAGAAUAUCUCAUAUCAUAGCAGCACAAACGCUAAUUUCACCUGCACAAAUCAGCACAAACGUAGCACUAAAAAAGUAGGCCAUUUUGGCCCGUUUUGGAGCAGUCUGGGGGGAUGGUGACCUUUGAAUGACCUAUAAAAUAAUGUUUAAUAUCUCAAAAACCGUAGCAGCACAAACGCUAAUUUUAACUGCACGAAUCUGCACAAACGUAGCACUAACCGCUCCGCCUUUACGUUUCAAGUGGGUGGGGGGUCAGCUUCACUCUGUUUUUAUAGGUGAUCCUCACUUGUGUGCACGUGCAUGUAGGUGAACGCUCACGGCAUGACGUCACACAGCUCAGUUCCUUUCUGCUUUGAUCUUGCAGCACGUGACCUCCACUCGAGUCCUCAAAUAGGGGUGAAACGUAUCACUAAACAAUUUUCAAAGCUAUCUUUAACUAAGACAGAGCAAAGAGACACAUAUUGAAAAAUAAUGACCAAUCAAACAGGUAGGAGUGGUCCGGGAAUCCCAAUAGACAAGGAAGAAAACAGAGAAAUAUACAGAGUUAGGUUGGAAAACUGUAUGGAAAACCAAGUUAGGCGAGUGGUAAAAAAAUCAGGCGAAGUCAUCAGUGAGGAAAAAGUCGAAGCCAUUUACAAGAGGCUUACCAAUAAAAUCUGGGCUGAAGUCGAGGAUCAAUUUGAUGAGAUUCUUAUAGUGGACUUCAACAAGCUCUACAACAUGAUUUUCAAAGCCCUGUGUGAAAAGUGGAAAAGUGCAGAAACAGUGCUGCUAAUAAUGAAAUUAAAUCUUCCACUUAUUGACAACACAAUUGUGGUAACCUUUAUAGAAGAGGCAGCCAAACUAAUGAUAAGAAAUCAAAGAAACGCAUAUUCAAAAACAACAGAAACCAACACAGGCAGGAGUGAUCCAGGAAUUCCAAUAGACAAGAAAGAAAGCAGCAGAAAUGACAGAUUUAGGUUGGAAAAGUGUAUGGCAGUCCUGGUUAAGCGAUUGGUUAGAAAAUCAGGUGGAGUCAUCAGUUUGGAAGAAGUUAAAGCCAUCUGCAAGAGGCUUACCAGCAAAAUCUGGGCUGAAAUGGAGGAUCAACUUCAUGUAAAUCUCUUAAUAGAGUCUGACAGGCUCCCAGAGAUGAUUUUCAACGGCCUUUGUAAAAAAUGGCAAAGUGCAGAAAUAGUGCUGCUAAUGAUGAAAUUAAAUCUCCCACUAAUUGACAACAUAAUUGUUGUAACUUUGAUAGAAGAGGCAGCCAAACUAACAAAGAGAGAGCAAAGAAGUGCAUAUUCAAAAACAAUAGCAGCAAACACAGGUAGGAGUGAUUCAGCUUUUAUUUCAGAGCCUAAAGAAAAUGUAAUGCCCGGAAAUGUGACAAAUACAGAAGAAAAAAGUCAUAAUCAUACUUGUAACGCUUGUAUUGACAGGAAAAACAUUUCAAUACAAAAUCAGAAAACAACAGAAACCGAAGAAACUGGAACUCCAAUAGAAGAGAAAAAACAGAGAGAGAAAAAGAGAUUAUAUUUGGAAAUGGGUAUGCAAUUCCUGGUUAGGCGAUUGGUUAGAAAAUCAGGUGAAGUCAUCAGUUUGCAAGAAGUUAAAGCCAUCUCCAUGAGGCUUACCAGCAAAAUCUGGGCUGAAAUGGAGGAUCAACUUCAUGUAAAUCUCUUAAUACAGUCUCACAGGCCCUUAAAGAUGAUUUGCAACGCCCUUUGUAAAAAGUGGCAAAGUGCAGAAACAGUGCUGCUAAUGAUGAAAUUAAAUCUCCCACUCAUCGACAACAUAAUUUUUGUAACUCUCAUAGAGGAAGCAGCCAAACUAUCCAAGAGACCAAGUCGCAUAAGUCGAUUUUUCUCAUUUGUAGGUCGACUUUUUUCCUCCUGUCUGUGCUGCAUGCAGAGUUCCAACACAGCUGACUGCGGUGUGGAACAACAAAUCAUUGUGUUUCAGAGCCUGAAAGAGGCUGAAAACAAGCCUGAAAACGAGAAAAGAAAUAGUAGUCAUGCGACUGUGUGUUCUUUCUGUAACUUUAAGAACUGUAACUGCUCUUUCAACGUUAAUGUCAAAUUGAGCAUCCCGAAACUAUUCAGUUUAGUGUAAUGCAGAGAAAGAGCUGCUGCUUUAAAGGCAGUACUGAUGACUAAAUUGUCAUCUUGAUUUUUUUUUCAAAUACCUCUUUUAAAAUCUUAAAGCAGUCUGGCCUCAGAGUUAACAUCAGAGGUAUAUUUUAUUUUAAAACUAUUUCAUUCGACUUUAAUUAGACUGAGAAAUAUUCUUCACCGUGUCUCUUCGUAUUAUCGUUACCAUCACCCCCCAACGGCCGAGGCAGACGGCCGUCCCUUCUGAGCCUGGUUCUGCCGGAGGUUUCUGCCUGUUACAGGUAGUUUUUCCUCCCCACUGUCGCCAAGUGCUUGCUCAUAAGGGAUUAUUCAUUAAUUGGGGUUUUCUUGCUGCUACUGUAGGGUCUCUAUCUUACAGUAUAAAGCAACUUGAGGAGACGGUUGUGAUUUGAUGCUAUAUUAAACAUCUUAAAUUCAACUGAAUCUUAAAAUGUAAUAUAGCAUCACAUCACCAUCAAAUCAAGAACUGAAAAAUAUAAAACAAAAUGAAAAUAAAAACCUAAAUUAAAAGCAGUUUGUGAUUUGUCUUGUGCUUUCAAAAUAUAUUGUCAAAUAUGAAAAGCUGCAUUUCUAUGCUCUGGUCAUUAGUACUGGUAUUUUAACCCUGGAGAACAAAUGGGGUCAGAUCCGACCCCAUUGGUUUUCUAGGGAACCCAUGGGGUCAAAUUUGACCCCAUGGGUUCUCCAGGGUUAAUGUAAGCAAACACAGGGAGCAUACACCGAUGUGGAAGUACUACAGAUGAAGAUGCAAAGAAACCAUGAAAUAAUUAAUGAAAUAGUGAAGUUUAUGAAUAAAAUAAACAACUGUAGCACCGUCUCAGUCUCGUCGAAUCGCCCCUCUGCCUCUUCUACUCUAGCAUCAACUCUUCUUAACCCUCGUCUAAUAUGCGCAUAUUGUUUGUUGUUGUCUUUCCUAAAGUCACGAAGCUCUUUCGGGAUGUUCAGGAGGCUGGGCUCGUCUGCAUCCGUGCCCUCUGUGGCUAACCUUAGCUCAGGAGAGUAGCUCCUAUCCACGUGGCUUUUCUCUGUCUCCUCUUCUGUCUGAGUUGUGCCUCUCAAACUUCUUGUGACUACCCCCGUUUCCAUAUUUAAAAGCAAUCUCACCUAUUAUCAGAAAGAUUACCGUAUCUUAUUGUAAGAGAAAUUUCUCCUACGUGUUUGGAGUCUCUACAGUAAGCAAAUGUGGUAAAGGGUGUGGCUGAUUCUGGGAUUGAUGCAGGAGGGCGACAGAAAUAAAAAGUAAAAUAUUAAAUUUUUGCUGUUAUUGACUUUGCUUUACAAUAUCAAACACUGAGCCAGAUGCACAAUAGUCAUGUACAUCACACGUAAACACAUUAAUGUAAAAAACACAGAGGUUAGGCCAUCAAAGUGUGUGUAAAAGAAGUGUUUAUGUCUGUCUUGCAGUUUCUGUUCCUGUCCGAGGUUUGCAGUGGAGAGCUCAGACCACACAGGACCCCGUCCUCUCCAAACCCUGCUCAGCUCUCUGGUACCAGCACACCCACGCACAACUGGCCACCUUAAAAAAUUGUACAGUUUUGAGCUCGAUAACCUGCAGGUGAAAAAUCUGUAGAUCAGUCAUCGCUCCUCUGUGGUGUUAAGAUGCUGAAUACAAGGGGAAUAAAAGUGGAUUAUAAUCGAUACCAAAACGGAUCUUUAUCCAUGGAAUCAGUAGCAUAAAAUCAGGAAUUUCAGGCUUCAUUAUCAUGGUUAAUUUAAGAAAAUAAAUAAAAAUAGGUGUGACCAUAUUUGACGAUUAUGAGCUAAUUCAAGCAAGUAGAAAACUGAAUAAUAAUUAUCCAUAACUGUGGAUGAACUGACCGUUAGAUGAACUGCAGUCUUUGUCCUUUGAGUGUGGCAGGUGGCUUCUUGAUGGCUCACACCGUUCCCCUCUCUCACCUCCUGCAGGGGGCAGUGUCCAGCUCUCUCACCUGUCUGCAGACGGCGGAGGGAGUGGCAGCUCUGCUGAUGGAGAGAGGCGGUGUGCAGGAAGGAGAUCACGUCGCUCUGGUGUACCCGCCAGGUAUAGACCUGAUCGCAGCCCUUUACGGCUGCCUGUACGCCGGCUGCGUUCCCAUCACAGUGCGACCGCCUCACCCUCAGAACAUCUCCACCACCCUGCCCACUGUUAAGAUGAUUGUCGAGGUGAGUCACUCGGCGUGUGUGAUGAUGACCACCGCCGUCAUCUGUAAGCUGCUGCGCUCCAAAGAGGCCAUGGCCACGAUGGACAUCAGGAACUGGCCCCCAGUCCUGGACACCGGUACAGCGUUUCAUUCAUAUCCGCACAGGGAAAUCACGCUCGCAUUAAGUACUUUAAUUUAACAUAAAUGCAGGUCGUGCACAGCCUCCUCACAAUGCAGUCCGAGUAGUUCUGGUUGCAGAUAUAAACCUAAAGAAUGCACAUUAAAUGAAAUCCUCUGCUGUGAUGAAACCUGCCUUUACAGCUCCAUCACUCUGUGAUUUAUCAAAAAAUAAAAACUUGCUGUAGCUGCAAGUCUGUGGAGUUUUUAAGUCUGUUGGUUCUCGUCUUUGGGAGAAGCAACCUGUCACUGAACAGACUGUUCUGGUUGUUUAUGGCCGUGUGCAGAGGAUGCCCAGCAUUGUCCAUAAUGUCCAUAAAAAUGUUAUAACAUGGGAACAUGCAUGCAAUAUAGUAUAAAUAAUAAAAACAAAGCUUAUACAAUUUUAGAAAAGCUUGAAAGUCAUUAUUUGGUGUGAUUCCUUAUACUUCCGCUUAAAAGACUACCACUACCACUUAAAAUACAUUCUGUGUUAGGAAAAGGGUAAGAUUUGAUAUACAUGCAGCUGUAGUUACAUGCAGCUGUAGUUACAUGCAGCUGUAGUUACAUGCACCUGUAGUGGAAGGAACAGUUUAAAUAUACUUUCAAAGAUGCUUUUUUAUCCUUUUUAAAGAACUCUUUUUAUUCAUAGCUGAUUGAGCUGUUUUUCUGCUUCUUUGUCAGACUCAUCUCUGACUGCCAAUCACCUGUGACACCAAACACAUCUUUAUUUUUCCAUUAUUACUGAUAAUAACCAAUAUAAAUAAGUGAUUCGUGUAGAUUCAAUGGUUUGUUUGUGACAUGUGGUUUUGUAUUUGACUGAUGUCAUUUAACCGCACCGUACAUUGGUCAAGUAUGUCUAAUAAUAAACAUACAACAUACAAUAAACAAAGAGGGAUCACAUUUGAAUCUCACUGACUAGGAAGCACACAGUGUUUGACAUUUCAUAUUAACUUUACUCUGAAAUAAUUUUAGCAUUUUUUUCAAGUCCCCAGUGUUUCCUGCUCCUUGGAGCACUCCUGGUUGUCUGCUAUGGUGGAGGUGGCCAAUGUCUGGAGACAAAUCGCUGUUCUGGGGAGCUGCUUUCCUCCACUUACUUUACAUCAGAGUAGAAAGCAUGGAAACAACCCUGAUGGAAAACAGAAACAGCAUCCAGGAAGUGGAAUAAAGAUUAAGCAGCCAAAUUCUAGCUCUGGUUCGAUGCUUACAUUUGGAGGACUCUAGACCACAAACUGAGAGAAACUCUGUGAAGAUGCAGAAACACAUCAAGUUUUGCAAACAAGCAUACUAUUUUUAUAGUUAACUAAACUUCUAGUUUAUUAGAGUUGAGUUCCUACUCGCAGACAACUGAAACAUUCACAUUUGGAAAGCUGACUGAAUAAAUUUUCGUUUGAUUAAUCUAAAGUUGUUCUUCUGUGUCUGAAAACACCCACUCCCACUUACUCAACCUGUGUUGUCGUCUGCUGCUGUGGCCUACAGUAGCAGAAGACAACACUGCAACUGUAACCAAACUGAUUACAGCAUUAUUUAAAAACCUUUAGUGAACUCAACGUUCAAGAUUUUUCAAGGAUCCACAGAAACUUUGAUUGUGUGCUAAAAAUGCUAGUAAAGCUGACAUCCAUCACGAACAACCCACAUCCUCCUCUGCAUGAGUCUGUGAGUGUGCUGAGCAGUUCCUCAUCAGAGACCAAAACAUCCUCACUGCAGGAAGGAGCGCUUUCACAGAUCAUUGAUCCCAACAGCAGUUAGACUAUAACUCCUCAAUCACGUUGUCAUGAGUCACUGGACAUUUACCUGGUGUGCACGUAUAUGUGUAUGUAUAUGUAUACAUGUGUAUAUUCAGUGUGUGUAUGUGUGUGUGUGUGUGUGUGUGUGUGCGCGUGUACAUGUCUAUACUUCUAGAUACUUUUAGAUAUCUAUUGCUUAAAUAGUAAUGAUACAAUAGUUAAAUUUAUUUCUUGCAUUUCCACAACACUCUAUCCAUAGUCACAUACUGUGUAUGCUACUGUUGUAUAUAGUGUACUAUCUUAUUUAUUUUGUGGUUGUUUAUAUUUUAGUCCUAUUUUCGUAUUUUCUGUAACCAUGGUUACGGGAGUUUGUUGCAAGAAGUGUUGUGAAUCUCGCUGAGACAGGGAACCACUGAGGAGCCUCAGAUUAACCAAUCAGUCAGAUCGCUGUCUCCACUUGGGUGGCUGUAGCUCAGGUGGUCAGCCACUACUCAGAAGGUUGGUGGUUCGAUCCCAGGCUGCCUCCUGGCUGCAUGCCAAAUAACCUUGGGCAAGAUACUAACCCAGGGGUCUGCAACCUUUUACACCCAAAGAGCCAUUUGACCCGGUUUCCACGCAAAAGAAAACACUGGGAGCCGCAAAUACUUUUUGACAUCUAAAAUGAAGAUAACACUGUAUAUAUUGUUUUUUACCUUUAUGCUUUGUGUGAACAACUCAGGUGUGUUGCUUAUGAAAAAUGAAGUGCUACAGAGAAAAUGUAAUUAUAUUUAUGUAAUCAACACAUUUUGAACUCUUAAAGAAAUAUAACAAAAGGAAAGACACCAACCUGAACUAAAAUGAUCCAGCAAACAAAAACUGUUGUCAGCCGCCACCCUUAUAUCGCCUUUGGGCUUUUGGAGCCUUGACCUGACUCUUAAAAAAUAAUUAGAAAAAAGCUCUAUGCUGCUAAAAGAUGAAAAAUAGAUUCUGCCUAAAUAUGUAUUUUACCUGGUUAAUGUGUGUGGCGGGGUGUGGUUUGCAGCGCCGCUGCAGGGGAGUCGAACGCACCUGAGCAGCACCCGCAAUCCUGCCUUUCCGCCUUAAAGUCUGUGCUCUCUCUGCUGUUGUGUUGUCGGGCUGUGAGCUGAAAAGCUACAGCCGGCUGUAUGUGUAGCCGCUAAACUGGUGACCUAAAUCUUCGCCACCACGUCUAUAUACAUACAAGCAUAAGGGGAGAGAGUGAAUCAGCGCUGGGAGUACGGACACUGGGCCGGCUUUAAACACACCAUUUAUUUUUUUAGAAGAACAGCCAGAAUCACAAGUAGGAGUUAAAAUCCCCACUAUACAAUAAAAAAAUAAAUGUUCCCAACCCACUAAAAAGCCCUGCCGGCAGAGAUUAAAAUACAAUUAAAAAAAUCAAAGCUAAAUGAAUGUCCUUUUUAUACGAUAAAACUUCCCCCCCAGAGUCCUCUAUUCCCAGUGUCCAACCACACACACUCGGGCAAAUGUUCCUUAGCUGAAAGACGCAGAAGGGGAGCUCCUCUUCCGGGAUGGGGAAAUCUCGCCAGCAGAAGGCCAGG